UGCCAGCCGCCGCGGUAAUACGUAGGUGGCAAGCGUUGUCCGGGUUUACUGGGCGUAAAGAGCGCGCAGGCGGCCAAGUAAGUCGAAUGUGAAAGCCCCCGGCUCAACUGGAGAAGGUCAUUCGAUACCGCCUGGCUUGAAGAUAGGAGAGGGAAGCGGAAUUUCCGGUGUAGUGGUGAAAUGCGUAGAUAUCGGAAGGAACACCAGUGGCGAAGGCGGCUCCCUGGCCAAAGACUGACGCCAUGUGCGAAGGUGUGGGUAGCGAACAGGAUUAGAUA
Molecule: ribosomal RNA, 278 nt
Filed under: uncultured bacterium
Lineage: Bacteria
Description: partial 16S ribosomal RNA
Rfam family: Bacterial small subunit ribosomal RNA
Source: RNAcentral